GUGGGGAAUUUUGGACAAUGGGCGAAAGCCUGAUCCAGCCAUGCCGCGUGCAGGAUGAAGGCCUUCGGGUUGUAAACUGCUUUUGUACGAAACGAAAAGCCUGGGGCUAAUAUCCCCGGGUCAUGACGGUACCGUAAGAAUAAGCACCGGCUAACUACGUGCCAGCAGCCGCGGUAAUACGUAGGGUGCAAGCGUUAAUCGGAAUUACUGGGCGUAAAGCGUGCGCAGGCGGUUUUGUAAGACAGUGGUGAAAUCCCCGGGCUAAACCUGGGAACUGCCAUUGUGACUGCAAGGCUAGAGUGCGGCAGAGGGGGAUGGAAUUCCGCGUGUAGCAGUGAAAUGCGUAGAUAUGCGGAGGAACACCGAUGGCGAAGGCAAUCCCCUGGGCCUGCACUGACGCUCAUGCACGAAAGCGUGGGGAGCAAACAGGAUUAGAAACCCCUGUAGUCC
Molecule: ribosomal RNA, 450 nt
Filed under: uncultured bacterium
Lineage: Bacteria
Description: bacterial SSU rRNA
Rfam family: Bacterial small subunit ribosomal RNA
Source: RNAcentral